RNAcentral lists this ribosomal RNA (450 nucleotides) under uncultured bacterium. RNAcentral describes it as "partial 16S ribosomal RNA". It matches the Rfam family "Bacterial small subunit ribosomal RNA", at positions 354 to 796 of the family's 1533-position model. The record is from RNAcentral.
GUGGGGAAUAUUGGACAAUGGGCGAAAGCCUGAUCCAGCCAUGCCGCGUGUGUGAAGAAGGUCUUCGGAUUGUAAAGCACUUUAAGUUGGGAGGAAGGGCAUUAACCUAAUACGUUAGUGUUUUGACGUUACCGACAGAAUAAGCACCGACUAACUUCGUGCCAGCAGCCGCGGUAAUACGAAGGGUGCAAGCGUUAAUCGGAAUUACUGGGCGUAAAGCGCGCGUAGGUGGUUCGUUAAGUUGGAUGUGAAAGCCCCGGGCUCAACCUGGGAACUGCCUCCAAAACUGCAUGACUAGAGUACGGUAGAGGGUAGUGGAAUUUCCUGUGUAGCGGUGAAAUGCGUAGAUAUAGGAAGGAACACCAGUGGCGAAGGCGACUACCUGGACUGAUACUGACACUGAGGUGCGAAAGCGUGGGGAGCAAACAGGAUUAGAAACCCGAGUAGUCC